RNAcentral lists this ribosomal RNA (270 nucleotides) under uncultured archaeon. RNAcentral describes it as "partial 16S ribosomal RNA". It matches the Rfam family "Archaeal small subunit ribosomal RNA", at positions 477 to 747 of the family's 1478-position model. The record is from RNAcentral.
CAGCACCUCAAGUGGUCAGGAUGAUUAUUGGGCCUAAAGCAUCUGUAGCCGGCUCUGUAAGUUUUCGGUUAAAUCUGUACGCUCAACGUACAGGCUGCCGGGAAUACUGCAGAGCUAGGGAGUGGGAGAGGUAGACGGUACUCGGUAGGAAGGGGUAAAAUCCUUUGAUCUAUUGAUGACCACCUGUGGCGAAGGCGGUCUACCAGAACACGUCCGACGGUGAGGGAUGAAAGCUGGGGGAGCAAACCGGAUUAGAUACCCGAGUAGUCC